Molecule: ribosomal RNA, 479 nt
Filed under: uncultured bacterium
Lineage: Bacteria
Description: bacterial SSU rRNA
Rfam family: Archaeal small subunit ribosomal RNA
Source: RNAcentral
AGUGAAUAGAUACCCCGGUAGUCCUGGCUGUAAACGAUGCAUGUUAGGUGUUGGUAGGGCUAUGAGCUGUAUCAGUGCCGUAGGGAAACCGUUAAACGUGCCGCUUGGGAAGUACGCUCGCAAGAGUGAAACUUAAAGGAAUUGGCGGGGGAGCACCACAAGGGGUGAAGCCUGCGGUUCAAUUGGACUCAACGCCGGGAAACUUACCGGGGGCGACAGCAGAAUGAAGGUCAGGCUGACGACCUUACCAGACAAGCUGAGCGGAGGUGCAUGGCCGUCGCCAGUUCGUGCCGUGAGGUAUCCUGUUAAGUCAGGCAACGAACGAGACCCACACACUUAGUUGCCAUCAAGAGCCUUCGGGUUUGUUGGGAACGCUAAGUGGACUGCCAUCGUACAGGUGGAGGAAGGGGUGGGCCACGGCAGGUCAGUAUGCCCCUAAUCCCCCGGGCCGACACGCGGGCUGCAAUGGUAUGGACAAU